CGGUCACGUUCGUUGCUUUCAGGACCCAAUUGUGUACGCAAAAGCAACUGAGACACAGCCAUACGCCUCACGAGGAAGCGUAGGGGUCAAAGCGCCAAGCAAUACACGUGUUAAUGAGCCCUUAGUGAAACGCAAUUAAGCAGACAGAUCACUCCACGAACUAAGAACGGCCAUGCACCACCUAUCACAUAAUCAUGAAAGGACUAGCAUAUUUAACAUAAAAAUGCGAACAUUUUUAAAAUUGCCUGUCAAUCCUCAGUGUGUCCGGACCCGGUAAGAUUUCCCGCGUUGAGUCAAAUUAAGCCACAUGCUCCAC
Molecule: ribosomal RNA, 316 nt
Filed under: Foraminifera environmental sample
Lineage: Eukaryota; Foraminifera
Description: partial small subunit ribosomal RNA
Source: RNAcentral